This 458-nucleotide ribosomal RNA is filed under the name uncultured bacterium. Its description in RNAcentral is "bacterial SSU rRNA". It matches the Rfam family "Bacterial small subunit ribosomal RNA", at positions 36 to 507 of the family's 1533-position model. The record is from RNAcentral.
CUGGCGGCGUGCCUAACACAUGCAAGUCGAGCGGGGAGGAGGAAGCUUGCUUCCGAAUCCUAGCGGCGGACGGGUGAGUAGCGCGUGAGUAACCUGCCUCUCAGAGGGGGAUAACGUUCUGAAAAGAACGCUAAUACCGCAUAUAAUUACGAAACCGCAUGGUUUUGUAAUGAAAGGAGCAAUCCGCUGAGAGAUGGACUCGCGUCUGAUUAGCUAGAUGGUGGGGUAACGGCCUACCAUGGCGACGAUCAGUAGCCGGACUGAGAGGUUGAACGGCCACAUUGGGACUGAGACACGGCCCAGACUCCUACGGGAGGCAGCAGUGGGGGAUAUUGCGCAAUGGGGGAAACCCUGACGCAGCAAUGCCGCGUGAAGGAAGACGGUUUUCGGAUUGUAAACUUCUUUUGUAAAGGACGAUAAUGACGGUACUUUACGAAUAAGCUCCGGCUAACUAUGUG